RNAcentral lists this ribosomal RNA (468 nucleotides) under uncultured bacterium. Its description in RNAcentral is "partial 16S ribosomal RNA". It matches the Rfam family "Bacterial small subunit ribosomal RNA", at positions 28 to 507 of the family's 1533-position model. The record is from RNAcentral.
GACGAACGCUGGCGGCGUGCUUAACACAUGCAAGUCGAACGGAAAGGCCCUGCUUUUGUGGGUUGCUCGAGUGGCGAACGGGUGAGUAACACGUGAGUAACCUGCCCUUGACUUUGGGAUAACUUCAGGAAACUGGGGCUAAUACCGGAUAGGAGCUCCUGCUGCAUGGUGGUGGUUGGAAAGUUUCGGCGGUUGGGGAUGGACUCGCGGCUUAUCAGCUUGUUGGUGGGGUAGUGGCUUACCAAGGCUUUGACGGAUAGCCGGCCUGAGAGGGUGACCGGCCACAUGGGGACUGAGAUACGGACCAGAAUGCUACGGGAGGCAGCAGUGGGGAAUAUUGCAGAAUGGGCGGAAGCCUGAUGCAGCAACGCCGCGUGCGGGAUGACGGCCUUCGGGUUGUAAACCGCUUUCGCCGGUGACGAAGCGUGAGUGACGGUAAUGGGUAAAGAAGCACCGGCUAACUACGUG